UACAGAAAAAGAGGUGAACAACUCCAUGUAGCCUACUUACAUUACAAAAGUAUGUGUUUAAUGCAAGUUGGGAACAGCUGGAGUCACACAUUUUUGUGGGUGGGGACUACAUAUCCCAUCGGCCACUGCCAAAAUUCUUUGGGUUAGUAGCUCUCAGCAUGGCUCAGUUAUGUGCUGGUUUUUACCGCGUGAUAAGAGACUCUUUGGAACUGCGGAGAUGCGUAAGGAACUAGUGCGCGGCUACACUCCAAACCGCUGGAUCAAGCUACAGUCGAACAAGUCAACACAAAGAACAGACAGGACUACGCGAGAACAUUUAAUCCAAAUCUGGAUUUAUUCUGUUUAAGUGCAUUUUAUAAAUUAAACGGGUUUCGCCGUCAUCUGCUCUGUGGUUCGUUGACUGUUGGAUCUCAUGGGAUAGCCUAUCCCUUGUCCAUGGUCAGAUGUGCGUGCAUUGUGGAGAGCUUUGUAUGGAGUUGUGUUCAGCUGUGGAUUGAUUUACGCGUGCGCGGGGUUCAGCAUUUAGGUUGUGGAUAUCUUUUUACGCAUUAUGCUUAUGAACAUUCAUAUCCGUGUCAUAUCCAUAGUCUACAGUUGUCCAGUAGUUGGGCUUUCAGAACGAAUCACCAUCAGUGACACAGGUGGAUGUCACAUAACGGCCCUGUGCGUGAUGUAAGAAGAAACUGAAAUUUGGAUUGUAAAAUGUCAGCUCUGGAUAAGACGUAACAAGAACAUAGUUUUGCAGUGGCCUUACAGGUGCGCAACAAAUGCCUUGGCGAGUCAGAAUGACUGGAGAAAAUGAAGACAACAGGGAAUUCCGAGUGUGAAGACAGGUGCCAAACGGUGACAACAUAUGUUUAUUUCCAGAGGUCACCGCCACCUCCUCAGUGACAAACAAGCUGCCAUGGCGAUGUCAAGUAAACAGGGCAGGCAGCCGUGAUUUCAUCGUUUGGCACCAAAAUGGUGUGAGGACAAGACCCCCAUCCCUCUGCCUGCGCUGAAAGCUGAGUGGGAUAGAGAGCGUGCGAAGGAAGAGAACCCCCUCCAACCCUUAGUUCUGAAGAGAGACAGAUAGAACAUAUAGACUGAAUGUACCGGUUGAAAGAGAGUGAAAAUGAGAAAGAGAGUGACUCACGCUCUCCUCCCUGCUCAUCCAUCCCAUCCGUCGCUCCAUCUGGUUUGUAUUUGUUUGGAUGUUUCUCCACCUCCAGCCUCUGGGUAGAACCAGCGCCAAGGCCCAGAUGGCUGCCGACCCAGCCACACCAGCCCACCGCGGAGAGAGUACACUGGGUUGGAGAAUGCCUGGGCCUGCCUCUUGGCUGGGGUAUGGAUGGUGGGCUAUGGUGGGGAAGGGAAGGGCGGACUUGGCUGGUGAUGGGUCUCAGAUGGACCGCACUCCGGCGCUGACGCAACAUCCAUCGAUCAUCCAUCGCGUUGGUUGAUAGUUUAUCCCCUCUACGCUGAGGACGUGAGCCCAGUCGUGUUGAGGGUGUUGGGGCGCAUUGAGGCAUGCUCAGUUGACAGUCAGAGACGUCAGAGAGGACGUCACACACCGGGGUGGCGGGUGCCAGGACUGACAGACUAGCCAGACGUCCGUUAGAUCAGUUACUGAGACUGGCAUCUCAUGGGACUGGCGCGUGGCAUCAGUACCAGACUGGUAGACUCAGCAUAAUGUCAGAUAGGAUGAGAAACUAUUUUAGACUCUAAAUCUGAAUAUCAUGUCUAAAUGUAAUGGUGUUUAGCUGUAUGUUGUUUUUUUAAUGAUUAUUUUACCUUUAUUUGACCAGGGAAGACAUCAUUGAGUAGUAGGUCUCUUUUUAAAUGUGCCCUGCACAAUACAACACAAAUAUACACAUUAUACACAAUAUAUACAUAUGGACACAUUAUAUAAUUCUGCAUGGGGAACAUGAUUUGUUUUUGCAGUCCCAGCCUUAUUGCCUUUGUCUUGUUUAUUCCUCGUCGUGUCUAAAUAAAAGAGGGCCUAAGCAGAACCCUACCGCCAGCAAAUCCUUUGUGCCUGCUGACGACAACUUUG
Long non-coding RNA from Coregonus clupeaformis (lake whitefish), 2035 nucleotides. RefSeq lists it as uncharacterized. The record is from RefSeq and is a predicted model, not a curated record. NCBI's taxonomy places the organism in Eukaryota, Metazoa, Chordata, Actinopteri, Salmoniformes, Salmonidae. The transcript has 5 exons.